UCUGAACUUCCAUUAAUUUCAUAUUUCUAACGUGGCAGAUUAGUGCAAUGAAUUUAAGCUUCAUAUAUAAAGAUUAUUCUUUUAUUAGAAA
RNAcentral lists this transfer RNA (91 nucleotides) under Trechus quadristriatus. RNAcentral's name for it is "transfer RNA-Leu". Lineage: Eukaryota; Metazoa; Arthropoda; Insecta; Coleoptera; Carabidae. The record is from RNAcentral.